Molecule: ribosomal RNA, 497 nt
Filed under: uncultured bacterium
Lineage: Bacteria
Description: partial 16S ribosomal RNA
Rfam family: Bacterial small subunit ribosomal RNA
Source: RNAcentral
GAUGAACGCUGGCGGCGUGCCUAAUACAUGCAAGUCGAGCGAACAGACGAGGAGCUUGCUCCUCUGACGUUAGCGGCGGACGGGUGAGUAACACGUGGAUAACCUACCUAUAAGACUGGGAUAACUUCGGGAAACCGGAGUUAAUACCGGAUAAUAUAUUGAACCGCAUGGUUCAAUAGUGAAGGACGGUUUUGCUGUCACUUAUAGAUGGAUCCGCGCCGCAUUAGCUAGUUGGUAAGGUAACGGCUUACCAAGGCAACGAUGCGUAGCCGACCUGAGAGGGUGAUCGGCCACACUGGAACUGAGACACGGUCCAGACUCCUACGGGAGGCAGCAGUAGGGAAUCUUCCGCAAUGGGCGAAAGCCUGACGGAGCAACGCCGCGUGAGUGAUGAAGGUCUUCGGAUCGUAAAACUCUGUUAUUAGGGAAGAACAAAUGUGUAAGUAACUAUGCACGUCUUGACGGUACCUAAUCAGAAAGCCACGGCUAACUACGUG